UCAAUACUGGACGCAAACGGGCUAAAGAAGAAGAAGAAACACAUAUCAGGACAUAUCAGGAAAGGAAGUAUAAAGGCGGUCGUAAGACUUAGAUUCAGGAACAAGGAAGAACGAAAAAGAAAAAUUGUACUCUUUAACACACAGAUAGCAGCCUCAAACACCUGUUGGAGAAAAUAUCAGAAUUGAGGAUCUCAUGGAUGAAGGAGGAAAAGAAGAAACAAUAAGAUGGAUAGGGCAAAUAAGAAGAGAAAAGAUUUGGCUGCUUUAUCAGUAACAGUUGUUUCGGAUUGGCUAUCUACAUCAGGAUUUAAAGUAGACAAUACCAAAUUUGCUUCAAAAGUUGAAUUUUUUAUCACGAACACGGCAGGUCUAUUAGAAAAAAAGAGAGAGAAAAAGGAAAACAUAAAAAUGAAACAAUCUUGCAAUAGCAUAAGGUAAAAUUAAUUAACACUAUGUCGUCCAAUGACAUCAAUGCAAUACCAUUUGCAAGCCUAACAUUAAUUGCCAAUGACAAUUAGUUUAAAGCUGAUCGACCAAAUGCUACACGUGCUGGACGGCAUAGUGUUAAGAUAUUCAACUUACCUUCCUGCAGUUUCUAAAUAUAUAUUAAUUGGUAAUUUAACAAAUUCAGCAAAAUUAAGAAUUGCUCUUAAUUCUUUCAUACAAAAUGUAAUAACUGUCUCUGCGUUAACUAAAUAUUUAUCAAAUUCACCUCUAAAUAAUACCAACUGUGUCCUUGUUAUGUUAGCUAUGUCUAUAUUAAGAAAUAAAAUGUUUUAUUUAUUAG
RNAcentral lists this long non-coding RNA (787 nucleotides) under Polistes fuscatus (common paper wasp). Its description in RNAcentral is "uncharacterized LOC122521860". Lineage: Eukaryota; Metazoa; Arthropoda; Insecta; Hymenoptera; Vespidae. The record is from RNAcentral.